Molecule: transfer RNA, 66 nt
Filed under: marine eukaryotic metagenome
Rfam family: tRNA
About the family: Transfer RNA (tRNA) molecules are approximately 80 nucleotides in length. Their secondary structure includes four short double-helical elements and three loops (D, anti-codon, and T loops).
Source: RNAcentral
UAGAUAGCUCAGUUGGUUAGAGUGAAGGAUUGAAAAUCCUUAAGUCGGCAGUUCAAAUCUGUCUCU